This 505-nucleotide ribosomal RNA is filed under the name uncultured bacterium. RNAcentral describes it as "bacterial SSU rRNA". It matches the Rfam family "Bacterial small subunit ribosomal RNA", at positions 1 to 509 of the family's 1533-position model. The record is from RNAcentral.
CUAGAGUUUGAUCCUGGCUCAGGAUGAACGCUGGCGGCGUGCUUAACACAUGCAAGUCGAGCGAAGCACUUUGAUCGGAUUUCUUCGGAAUGACGAUUGAUUUGACUGAGCGGCGGACGGGUGAGUAACGCGUGGGUAACCUGCCUCACACAGGGGGAUAACAGUUGGAAACGGCUGCUAAUACCGCAUAAGCGCACGGGGACGCAUGUUUCUGUGUGAAAAACUCCGGUGGUGUGAGAUGGACCCGCGUCUGAUUAGGUAGUUGGUGAGGUAACGGCUCACCAAGCCGACGAUCAGUAGCCGACCUGAGAGGGUGACCGGCCACAUUGGGACUGAGACACGGCCCAAACUCCUACGGGAGGCAGCAGUGGGGAAUAUUGCACAAUGGGGGAAACCCUGAUGCAGCGACGCCGCGUGAAGGAAGAAGUAUUUCGGUAUGUAAACUUCUAUCAGCAGGGAAGAAAAUGACGGUACCUGACUAAGAAGCCCCGGCUAACUACGUGCC